RNAcentral lists this ribosomal RNA (473 nucleotides) under uncultured Rhodocyclaceae bacterium. Its description in RNAcentral is "bacterial SSU rRNA". It matches the Rfam family "Bacterial small subunit ribosomal RNA", at positions 908 to 1382 of the family's 1533-position model. Lineage: Bacteria; Pseudomonadati; Pseudomonadota; Betaproteobacteria; Rhodocyclales; Rhodocyclaceae. The record is from RNAcentral.
AAAUUGACGGGGACCCGCACAAGCGGUGGAUGAUGUGGAUUAAUCGAUGCAACGCGAAAACCUUACUACCCUUGACAUGUCCGGAAUCCCGAAGAGAUUUGGGAGUGCUCGCAAGAGAACCGGAACACAGGUGCUGCAUGGCUGUCGUCAGCUCGUGUCGUGAGAUGUUGGGUUAAGUCCCGCAACGAGCGCAACCCUUGUCAUUAGUUGCCAUCAUUUGGUUGGGCACUCUAAUGAGACUGCCGGUGACAAACCGGAGGAAGGUGGGGAUGACGUCAAGUCCUCAUGGCCCUUAUGGGUAGGGCUUCACACGUCAUACAAUGGUCGGUACAGAGGGUUGCCAACCCGCGAGGGGGAGCUAAUCCCACAAAGCCGAUCGUAGUCCGGAUCGCAGUCUGCAACUCGACUGCGUGAAGUCGGAAUCGCUAGUAAUCGUGGAUCAGCAUGUCACGGUGAAUACGUUCCCGGGUCUU